RNAcentral lists this antisense RNA (191 nucleotides) under Phytobacter massiliensis. Its description in RNAcentral is "Yersinia sRNA 251". It matches the Rfam family "Yersinia sRNA 251". Rfam says of the family: Antisense to phoH gene. Trimmed on 5'end from the original size. The record is from RNAcentral. Lineage: Bacteria; Pseudomonadati; Pseudomonadota; Gammaproteobacteria; Enterobacterales; Enterobacteriaceae.
UACGCUUUCAGCGUUCUCUGGCAGAGCGCGGAGCGGACGCAGUCGUCGGUGGUGAAACGCACCAGCCCUACCAUCUCAUCUUCUUCAAAACGCGCCAGCGCAUCGCUCAGGCCAGACUGUACGCCAGCGGGUAAGUCACACUGGGUAAUGUCGCCGUUUACGAUAACCGUCACGUUCUCCCCGAGGCGCGU